GUACUUCUGAAGAGUCCCAAACUAGGACGAAACAGCUUUCCAGUAC
Molecule: non-coding RNA, 46 nt
Organism: Trichobilharzia regenti
Lineage: Eukaryota; Metazoa; Platyhelminthes; Trematoda; Strigeidida; Schistosomatidae
Source: Rfam